This 31-nucleotide non-coding RNA is filed under the name Rattus norvegicus (Norway rat). Lineage: Eukaryota; Metazoa; Chordata; Mammalia; Rodentia; Muridae. The record is from RNAcentral.
UGCCAGAGGUGUGUCAUAUCAGUGACUUAAA